AGUGUGCCCAAUAAAGUGGUUGUUGUACCCUUGGAACUGUCUGUCGUUUGAGGGAAAAUGGAUCUCUUACUUCAUUAAUAGUGGGGGUAACCAGCCGGGUUACCCAGGGUCCGCUACAUGAACCAUCCAGUGCUGAAUGCAUUGCCCACCACUCUUGCAGCCGGAUUGGUGUUGAACCCCUUAAGGACGGCGGGCCCAAUCCAUUCUAUGUUCUUACCCGGUCACCGGCGAUCGCGGUAUGGGGCUUACC
Molecule: non-coding RNA, 250 nt
Organism: Pelobates cultripes (western spadefoot toad)
Lineage: Eukaryota; Metazoa; Chordata; Amphibia; Anura; Pelobatidae
Source: the annotation of a GenBank genome assembly